AGUGAACGCUGGCGGUAGGCCUAUCACAUGCAAGUCGAACGGCAGCACAGUAAGAGCUUGCUCUUACGGGUGGCGAGUGGCGGACGGGUGAGGAAUACAUCGGAAUCUACUUUUUCGUGGGGGAUAACGUAGGGAAACUUACGCUAAUACCGCAUACGACCUACGGGUGAAAGCAGGGGAUCUUCGGACCUUGCGCGAUUGAAUGAGCCGAUGUCGGAUUAGCUAGUUGGCGGGGUAAAGGCCCACCAGGGCGACGAUCCGUAGCUGGUCUGAGAGGAUGAUCAGCCACACUGGAACUGAGACACGGUCCAGACUCCUACGGGAGGCAGCAGUGGGGAAUAUUGGACAAUGGGCGCAAGCCUGAUCCAGCCAUACCGCGUGGGUGAAGAAGGCCUUCGGGUUGUAAAGCCCUUUUGUUGGGAAAGAAAAGCAGCAGGUUAAUACCCCGCUGUUCUGACGGUACCCAAAGAAUAAGCACCGGCUAACUUCGUG
RNAcentral lists this ribosomal RNA (492 nucleotides) under uncultured bacterium. RNAcentral's name for it is "partial 16S ribosomal RNA". It matches the Rfam family "Bacterial small subunit ribosomal RNA", at positions 29 to 507 of the family's 1533-position model. The record is from RNAcentral.